CGGCCUUCAGGACUCAGAGGCCUUUUGUGUGCCCAGAAGGGUGCACACAGUGGGUGACUGGAGUUGACUAUUGAUGAGCCAAGGCUACAGGAUGCACCCAGCCAGCCCUCCACCCACCUACACACACCCACAGGGAUUUAAUCCUGGGCCACUUCAACUUGACUUCUACUGUAUUUCAUCAUGACACAUUUGUAUAUUUUUUUCUGAAGCAAAAGGAACAUCUCAUGCUCAAUCAAUAAGAUUUUUCUACCCAUACAGGGCCUAGUGUGUCCUAGCAUAUAUAGGAAGAGAUAUAGCAAUAAACACGUAAACAAGUAAAAUAUUAACCAGCUAAAUAUCUCACAGUAAUGAAUGCCCCCUUCAGGGAGGUCGAAUAGGGUGAUGUGGUAGUGAUAAACUGGGUGGCUGUUUCCGAUUCAGAGGUCAAGGAAAGCCUCUCUGAGGAGGUGACAUUUAAGCUAAGAUCUGAAUGUCACAAAGUUACCAGCCCUGUGAAAGUCCUGGCAAAGUGCAUUCCGGGUGGAGGAAAGAGCUGGUCCAAGGCUUGGUGGCAUGUGCAGAAAGAGGAGAGGAGCUGCCAGCUCCAGCCAGUACAUCAGACCACUCACCUGCAGCUGGCCUGCCACGCACGCACUCUGCCCUCCUCCUGUAACAAGACAAGCUGCAUAUGCUCCAGCCAUGAUGACUGCAUCCCAUCUGCUCAGGACACCAGGGAGAGAACAGCCCAGCCAUCCUGGCUCUCUCUCCUGCAUCACAAUGUGCUUUCUUUCUGCUGGAUCACCCCUGUUAACAGGUUGUUCCCACCCCUUAGGAUGCCUUCUCCAGCUCCUAAGGCCCGGGUCCCAGGGCAGCUCUUCCAUUCAGCUUACUCCAUCUCCCCACAAAGAAAUCCACCCACCAGAGCUAUCGCCAGGACACCCACACCAUCGUCAACACACAAAUGACCUGCUCAUCAGGCAUCUGUUGCUUCUUUCCCCAUCACAACAGGCAGUCUUGCUUGCUGGAGCUGUAAGCUGUCCCUGCAGCGGAACAGAACUUCAAUCUGGCCUUGAGGCUAAGGAGGAGGAAAGGCUGUAAAUAAAGAUUUAACUUCCCUGGUUCCUGAGUCAUCUUAGAAACUGAAGACAAAAUAAACUCUUUACAGUUUAAAAAGUCAAAUAAAUGAUUAUACAGAUUAUUGACCAUGUCAAAAUCUAAAACUUAUUUAAAGAUAUUUAAGUCCUUUAUCUCACCUCUUUAAAAGUUUAUGAUUUUAACAGGAAAUCUUGUUAUUUGCAACAACAUGCAUAAAUCUAAAGAAGAAUAUGCUAAUUGAAAUAAGCCAGGC
RNAcentral lists this long non-coding RNA (1327 nucleotides) under Homo sapiens (human). Its description in RNAcentral is "HSALNT0248008". Lineage: Eukaryota; Metazoa; Chordata; Mammalia; Primates; Hominidae. The record is from RNAcentral.